Small nucleolar RNA from Xenopus tropicalis (tropical clawed frog), 125 nucleotides. The record is from Ensembl. Lineage: Eukaryota; Metazoa; Chordata; Amphibia; Anura; Pipidae.
UGUGAGGUCUAUCCCGAUGGUGCUUUGAUGUAAGUUCAUAUCGUUGGAAACGCCUCAUAGAGUAACCCUUGUAGCUUUGAAUUACCUGCUAUAACCUUUAGUGGGGUAAAAUCUGCAUAACAAUU